GAUGAACGCUAGCGGGAGGCCUAACACAUGCAAGCCGAGCGGUAUUGUUUCUUCGGAAAUGAGAGAGCGGCGUACGGGUGCGGAACACGUGUGCAACCUGCCUUUAUCUGGGGGAUAGCCUUUCGAAAGGAAGAUUAAUACUCCAUAAUAUAUUGAACGGCAUCGUUUAAUAUUGAAAGCUCCGGCGGAUAGAGAUGGGCACGCGCAAGAUUAGCUAGUUGGUGAGGUAACGGCUCACCAAGGCAAUGAUCUUUAGGGGCCUGAGAGGUGAUCCCCCACACUGGUACUGAGACACGGACCAGACUCCUACGGGAGGCAGCAGUGAGGAAUAUUGGUCAAUGGGUGCAAGCCUGAACCAGCCUAUCCCGCGUGAAGGACGACUGCCCUAUGGGUUGUAAACUUCUUUUGUAUAGGGAUAAACCUACUCUCGUGAGGGUAGCUGAAGGUACUAUACGAAUAAGCACCGGCUAACUCCGUGCCAGCAGCCGUC
Molecule: ribosomal RNA, 490 nt
Filed under: uncultured bacterium
Lineage: Bacteria
Description: bacterial SSU rRNA
Rfam family: Bacterial small subunit ribosomal RNA
Source: RNAcentral